GUCCCGUUCGUCUAGAGGCCUAGGACACCGCCCUUUCACGGCGGUAACAGGGGUUCGACUCCCCCUACGGAUACCA
Molecule: transfer RNA, 76 nt
Filed under: Vibrio parahaemolyticus
Lineage: Bacteria; Pseudomonadati; Pseudomonadota; Gammaproteobacteria; Vibrionales; Vibrionaceae
Description: tRNA-Glu
Rfam family: tRNA
About the family: Transfer RNA (tRNA) molecules are approximately 80 nucleotides in length. Their secondary structure includes four short double-helical elements and three loops (D, anti-codon, and T loops).
Source: RNAcentral